UACAGAGGGUGCAAGCGUUGUUCGGAAUUAUUGGGCGUAAAGCGCGUGUAGGCGGCUUUGCAAGUCGGGUGUGAAAGCCCUCAGCUUAACCGAGGAAGUGCGCCCGAAACUGCAGAGCUUGAGUACUGGAGAGGAUGGCGGAAUUCCCCAAGUAGAGGUGAAAUUCGUAGAUAUGGGGAGGAACACCGGUGGCGAAGGCGGCCAUCUGGACAGAUACUGACGCUGAGACGCGAAAGCGUGGGUAGCAAACAGG
Molecule: ribosomal RNA, 253 nt
Filed under: uncultured bacterium
Lineage: Bacteria
Description: partial 16S ribosomal RNA
Rfam family: Bacterial small subunit ribosomal RNA
Source: RNAcentral